Sycon ciliatum is the source of this 351-nucleotide long non-coding RNA. RefSeq lists it as uncharacterized. Lineage: Eukaryota; Metazoa; Porifera; Calcarea; Leucosolenida; Sycettidae. The transcript has 4 exons. The record is from RefSeq and is a predicted model, not a curated record.
GGUUCUGGUCCAGCCUGGCGCCGAUUCAACCAUAGACGUAUAUGAUUCUGUGGCUUCGGAACCUUCCGUUAGUCCUCAUGGUUCUAUGAGUAUCCAAUCUAAACCUGCAGAUUCUGGGGAGAAGGAGACAACUCUGGUGUAUCAGGCUGCAGAUGACAUAUACUCCGAUGCAGGUCCACUUACCUGUACAAACCAUUCUCAAGCAGCUCAAGGAGUAUUUCAAGCUGCUGGGUCAGCCGCAGCCUCACCAAAGAUCACUCUAGGCACAGAUUUGCAGACUGACGGCAAUAGGAAGGAUGUAGAGGUUAUGUACAGUGUUGCCAACCCAAAAAUCAAUCGACAGGGGACUCC